RNAcentral lists this long non-coding RNA (1387 nucleotides) under Aedes aegypti (yellow fever mosquito). RNAcentral describes it as "lncRNA AAEL021078". The record is from RNAcentral. Lineage: Eukaryota; Metazoa; Arthropoda; Insecta; Diptera; Culicidae.
AAAACCUUCCGAAUCUGGAUGUGUAGUCCUCUGAAUUCGAGAAAAAGGCAUAAUUUUUCAAAGGGAAAUAGAAGCUUCAGGAUAAAUUUAAGGAGUUUUUAGAGUUUGUUACGUUAGAAACAUACUUGCAAUAUUAGCCAGUUACAUUUUGUGUGCAAACUGUAUUGAGAGUGAAGAUUAUGCUGCGAGGGACAAUUUGCUUGAAAGCAAAGAUUAGUCGAUAAAUUGACUUGCGAAUAUACAGCAUACCAGCUGUCAAAAACUGCUUCCGCUUUGGAAUGCAGUCACUCCAUCGGACCAUCAGCGAGGAUAAAAAAGAAGCCUUCGUGUCGACUGGUCGUGGAAAAGGCUACCGCGUACCGAUUAGAAAAGUUUGCGAAACAGAAACGCCCGCUUAAAAUACGGUUGGCAAAGAGUGUGACCGUGGGAAACAUCGGUCGGUGAUUAAAAUAAACCGUCGGAAUCGAAGUAAAAAAUUAGCCACCACUCGGAAACUCAUCCACACGAGGGACCAUUCUCGGUGUCCCGGAAAAAAACAGCCACGAGUGAUUAACUGGUCCGCACAGCCUUCGCCGAAGGGAGCCGGCAUUUCUUUGGAGAGCCAUUCAGCUUAGGAAAACAAUUCAGAUUACCUGGUAAGGAAAAUCAUGGAAUUUUACGAUGACAGCACUGACACCAUUGCCUUGCAGGACAAUCGGGCAUUGUGAAAAGCACCUUGAGAUUCUUCGGGACGUACUCGUCGCCCAAGCAAACUGCGUCACGAGAUUUAGCAGCAAGCAUCCCCUUCGUUGGAUCCGUAGGUCCACUGACGUCGAUCAUCCGGUAAUAGGAUCAGGAAAGGGACUCGGUAAGCGAUGCAACGAGCGUCAAAAUGGCAGGAUCCUAAUUUGUUUGCCUUACAGAACACUAGGGCGUACGAAGGACGUGCUGAAGUGCCGAAUAGACCUGUUGGAACAACCCGACCAGCGAAACAAGAGAGCCUUACAAGGCUCUUUUUUUUCUACAGCUUCGAUUGGCCUUCAGACUCAUUCGGCGGAGGACUCUGGACCGCGACCAAUCCAUCAGCAAGGUACGAGCUGUCACACGAUCGAGGUCCAUCGACAGCGUAGAUCCCAAACAGGGUCGGGAUUCGGCACGGAGAGCGGGUGAUCGUGGAUGCCGGGGAUUACGGUGGUAGAUGAGCCACUGGCCAGCGUUAUUAUACGAAAGAAGCAUGUUGGCCGAAGCGGACGCGCUCGCCCACAAGCAGCAAUGAAGCGGUGACCGUGAGUACGAUGAAGAAAGUGGCAUAGAGUGAAAGAAGAGCUAGAAUGUUAGGGUCCAGAAGAGUAGGAGCAUGAGACAGGUUAAGGAAAAGUAAAUAAAAUGUUUGCACACUAAUAUUGCA